RNAcentral lists this ribosomal RNA (942 nucleotides) under Aeromonas dhakensis. RNAcentral describes it as "partial 23S ribosomal RNA". It matches the Rfam family "Bacterial large subunit ribosomal RNA", at positions 196 to 1190 of the family's 2925-position model. The record is from RNAcentral. Lineage: Bacteria; Pseudomonadati; Pseudomonadota; Gammaproteobacteria; Aeromonadales; Aeromonadaceae.
AAACAUCUAAGUACCCCGAGGAAAAGAAAUCAACCGAGAUUCCCUCAGUAGCGGCGAGCGAACGGGGAUUAGCCCUUAAGCAUCUUGGAAGUUAGUGGAACGGUCCUGGAAAGGCCGGCGAUACAGGGUGAUAGCCCCGUACACGAAAACAACCUUGAUGUGAAAUCGAGUAGGGCGGGACACGUGACAUCCUGUCUGAAUAUGGGGGGACCAUCCUCCAAGGCUAAAUACUCCUGACUGACCGAUAGUGAACCAGUACCGUGAGGGAAAGGCGAAAAGAACCCCUGUGAGGGGAGUGAAAUAGAACCUGAAACCGUGUACGUACAAGCAGUGGGAGCCCUUCGGGGUGACUGCGUACCUUUUGUAUAAUGGGUCAGCGACUUACAUUUUGUAGCGAGGUUAACCGUAUAGGGGAGCCGUAGGGAAACCGAGUCUUAACUGGGCGUCUAGUUGCAAGGUGUAGACCCGAAACCGGGUGAUCUAGCCAUGGGCAGGUUGAAGGUUGAGUAACAUCAACUGGAGGACCGAACCCACUAACGUUGCAAAGUUAGGGGAUGACCUGUGGCUGGGGGUGAAAGGCCAAUCAAACUCGGAGAUAGCUGGUUCUCCCCGAAAGCUAUUUAGGUAGCGCCUCGGACGAAUACUACUGGGGGUAGAGCACUGUUUGGGCUAGGGGGUCAUCCCGACUUACCAACCCCAUGCAAACUCCGAAUACCAGUAAGUAAUAUCCGGGAGACACACGGCGGGUGCUAACGUCCGUCGUGAAGAGGGAAACAACCCAGACCGCCGGCUAAGGUCCCAAAGUUCUGGUUAAGUGGGAAACGAUGUGGGAAGGCUCAGACAGCUAGGAUGUUGGCUUAGAAGCAGCCAUCAUUUAAAGAAAGCGUAAUAGCUCACUAGUCGAGUCGGCCUGCGCGGAAGAUGUAACGGGGCUCAAACCAG